This is a non-coding RNA of Lepisosteus oculatus (spotted gar), 2569 nucleotides long. NCBI's taxonomy places the organism in Eukaryota, Metazoa, Chordata, Actinopteri, Semionotiformes, Lepisosteidae. The record is from RefSeq and is a predicted model, not a curated record.
GAAAAUACAACGUUUCGGCCGUGGAUCCUUCUUCAGUGUUUCAAACAUCAAAGCGCGACACACAGAAGACGUGGCCAAGACGUGAGUCUUCAGUAUUUCACCUGAACACAGAGGAGUCCUUAAACCACGAGGAGGAAGGGUACCCCCAGCUGGCCCAGUGAACUCACAUUCAGGACCUCCCAGUGGAUCUCUGCAUGGGCUAGGAAGCCGGCACUCACUCUGAAAGGUCAUUUCCUCAGCAAAUUACCAGGCUUCACAUAUUCUGCCAUGGAAAAUGAGACGAUAAUUGGCACAGAAAACGAAGACCCCGAGCAGGAGACUAAAUUACCUAUUAAGCAAGAUGUGGUAUGCACUCUGGAUAAGGAGCAAAGAUUCCAGUAAUGACGGUGCUCCUUUCUACCCUCCUCAAACUCAGGAUUACCCAAAGUGGGAGUUCAGAACGAUUUUAUAGAGAUGACAGUGACUGAAAAAGAGACAGUACUACUUCACUUUGUAAGACACAGCGCCAUUUUGUAAGUAACUGCAUAAAUAAGAAGGAAUGAUGCUCUCACACACAAGUAACAAACACUUACUGUAUUUCAACCUGUAUAGUUUAUAAAGGAAGAGUCAGUGAAGCAUGUGGUACUGAAGUCACAUGACUCCAAUGUGCUAUUGACACACAAUUGACUGACAUGCAUUAAAAAUGAUACUAAUGCGACUGAUUCCAGUACUCACUCAUACCUGAUUUUCUUGGCUAGUGCUGGUGUAGCUUCUGCACUUGUUCUUUAGUUGCUUUACUGAUUGAGGAAUCCAUAUAUGGGAAAUACUGAGGAUUUCCAGCAGAUCCAACUGCUUCUCAAUCAUUUCGUUGCCACCUGGCACUUGGGUGGUGCUGGGCCGAGCCAGGCCAGCCCAAAUGCCCAAUUGAAAAGUUGUAACCCCCCCCUUAGACGAGCUGAUUCCUGUCCCUGUUCUCUGUGCAAGAAGCCUCCUCCACCCCAGCCGGUGAAGUUAGAUAAUGAGAGAUGAGUCCAGUGUAAAUGGGAUCAGGAAAAGCAUGAGAGUACCUGGCUCCCUCAAAUGGCAUAUUAGGCACACUUGCCAACCAGCCUCAGCCCUGAGCCUUUGUUUCCUAGACAAUUCUGAAUUACACCGCAGACGCAGUGAAUUGCUCAGAUUUCUUCCAUCCUCCCCAUCCUUCGCUUUUUUGGCUAGAGCCAAUUUACUUUUCAGGCUCGAUAAAAAAAAAAUCCAAUUCAAAUUUCAAGUCACAUCUCUACAGCUUUGUGACAACUGGGAUUUAUGAAUAACAGUCGCCUUUUCUUUCUCUCUCUCUAUCCCCUUUUCCUCGGGGGAAUGCAUUCAGCAGGUGUUUCUCCGCUCCUGGAGCCAGAAGGACUGGGCUUGGCAUCGCUGGCCAUCUUUGGUUUCACUCGCUGCCUUCCCAGUGAGGAUUCCCAAGGUCCGGUUGGGAUAAUCGUUCACAGGCACUUCUCCGGUCACGGCGAAUUUAGCCUUCUGCCAGGCGUCAAAUCAGAGUCAAAAAAGCCGGUGUGGCAGGGAUGUGAGCCAGCUAUCUCUGGGCUCACCUUGUGGAUCUUGUCAUUUCAGCGUGUGGAGCAAAUUUCAGAGCCCUAGAGAAUGUACAAACAGUCUAGAUAAGUGUUAUUCAAUAAUGUACUUUGAAUAACUGCUGUGGAAAAUGUUCACAGCUUCAGGAGGAUGCUUUUCUGUGCUUUAACAGGAUCCCAAAGAUAGAGUUCUAGUCUUUUGGCAGUGCUGUUGAAUGUAUUUUUUUUCUUCAUUUGGUUUACUAUGCCAUUAUUUGCUCCCCUGACCCAUUAGUGGAACAGACAACUGGUAAACUCUGGGUAGCUGAUAAAACAAGUUUUGUGGGUUGCAAGCUAAAAGUCUGAAGAACGCCAUUAACCAAAUUGAGAUGCAUGAGCACUCUACAUUAUAGAGUCAACGCUAACAUUUACAUACCCCAAAUUGAUCUGAUUAUUAUUUUUAUUUUAAAUGUUAUUAAAAUUAACUUACACUUAUGGAAUCAAAGCCAAUACCAUUCUUUGCAAUUGCUUUUGACAUUGACAUGGCGAGAUAAUGUGACAAUAGCAUGAUCACACUCUUCAUGGGUGAAGGGCUGAACUAAACAUAUUAUGGAAAGCAACAGAGAGACCAGAAACAUGAGGAAGAGAAACUGGAGACAAAUGCUCUGCUAUUGAAGGCUGAUACUGUAUAACUGAUCGAAAGGUCUUGACACAGAAACUUAAAAGGCUCUCUCACAGAAGGCUAAUAGCUGGGCCUGAUCAUAAUUUAAUUGUUCAGUUUGCUGAAGCAGGUAGAUGAAGAGAUCCAAUUAGUAGCGCAUGGGGCUUGUCAUUGAGGUAUAUAGGUAUCUGAGCACUUGAACUGACAAAUCAGCUCUUAAAUAGUGUUGAAGAUACUUUAAAAUUGCAUCCCCUGCAGAGAGUAUUUUGUUACUUAGAUUAAGAACUCACAGAGUCUACAAUUCAGAGAUACAGAGAUAACAUAACAUCUUUAUGUAUCUUUAGCAUAAGUACCUCUGAUACCUAUUGGAUAAUUCAGG